UAAAACCAGCACCUCAAGUGGUCAGGAUGAUUAUUGGGCCUAAAGCAUCCGUAGCCGGCUCUGUAAGUUUUCGGUUAAAUCUGUACGCUCAACGUACAGGCUGCCGGGAAUACUGCAGAACUAGGGAGUGGGAGAGGUAGACGGUACUCGGUAGGAAGUGGUAAAACGCUUUGAUCUAUCGAUGACCACCUGUGGCGAAGGCGGUCUACCAGAACACGUCCGACGGUGAGGGAUGAAAGCUGGGGGAGCAAACCGGAUUAGAUACCCGGGUAGUCCCAGCUGUAAACUAUGCAAACUCAGUGAUGCAUUGGCUUGUGGCCAAUGCAGUGCUGCAGGGAAGCCGUUAAGUUUGCCGCCUGGGAAGUACGUACGCAAGUAUG
RNAcentral lists this ribosomal RNA (380 nucleotides) under uncultured crenarchaeote. RNAcentral's name for it is "bacterial SSU rRNA". It matches the Rfam family "Archaeal small subunit ribosomal RNA", at positions 471 to 851 of the family's 1478-position model. Lineage: Archaea; Thermoproteati; Thermoproteota. The record is from RNAcentral.